This 465-nucleotide ribosomal RNA is filed under the name uncultured bacterium. RNAcentral's name for it is "partial 16S ribosomal RNA". It matches the Rfam family "Bacterial small subunit ribosomal RNA", at positions 28 to 507 of the family's 1533-position model. The record is from RNAcentral.
GACGAACGCUGGCGGCGUGCUUAACACAUGCAAGUCGAACGGUGAACUCCGCUUGCGGGGGGAUCAGUGGCGAACGGGUGAGUAAAACGUGGGCAACCUGCCCUCAGCUCUGGGAUAACUCCAAGAAAUUGGGGCUAAUACCGGAUAUGACCGCUGACCGCAUGGUCUGGUGGUGGAAAGAUUUAUCGGCUGGGGAUGGGCCCGCGGCCUAUCAGCUUGUUGGUGGGGUAGUGGCCUACCAAGGCGACGACGGGUAGCCGGCCUGAGAGGGUGACCGGCCACACUGGGACUGAGACACGGCCCAGACUCCUACGUGAGGCAGCAGUGGGGAAUAUUGCGCAAUGGGCGAAAGCCUGACGCAGCGACGCCGCGUGGGGGAUGACGGCCUUCGGGUUGUAAACCUCUUUCAGCAGGGACGAAGCGAAAGUGACGGUACCUGCAGAAGAAGCACCGGCCAACUACGUG